Molecule: ribosomal RNA, 508 nt
Filed under: uncultured bacterium
Lineage: Bacteria
Description: partial 16S ribosomal RNA
Rfam family: Bacterial small subunit ribosomal RNA
Source: RNAcentral
GAUGAACGCUAGCUACAGGCUUAACACAUGCAAGUCGAGGGGAAACGAUAUUGGAAGCUUGCUUCCGAUAGGCGUCAACCGGCGCACGGGUGAGUAACGCGUAUCCAACCUGCCCACCACUUGGGGAUAACCUUGCGAAAGUAAGACUAAUACCCAAUGAUAUCUCAAGAAGACAUCUGAAUGAGAUUAAAGAUUUAUCGGUGAUGGAUGGGGAUGCGUCUGAUUAGCUUGUUGGCGGGGUAACGGCCCACCAAGGCGACGAUCAGUAGGGGUUCUGAGAGGAAGGUCCCCCACAUUGGAACUGAGACACGGUCCAAACUCCUACGGGAGGCAGCAGUGGGGAAUAUUGGUCAAUGGGCGAGAGCCUGAACCAGCCAAGUAGCGUGCAGGAUGACGGCCCUAUGGGUUGUAAACUGCUUUUAUAAGGGAAUAAAGUGAGCCUCGUGAGGCUUUUUGCAUGUACCUUAUGAAUAAGGACCGGCUAAUUCCGUGCCAGCCGCCGCCGUAA